CAUGGUGGGGGGUGGAAAGCUUUUUGUGGUUUUGGAUGGACUCGCGGCCUAUCAGCUUGUUGGUGAGGUAAUGGCUCACCAAGGCGACGACGGGUAGCCGGCCUGAGAGGGUGACCGGCCACACUGGGACUGAGACACGGCCCAGACUCCUACGGGAGGCAGCAGUGGGGAAUAUUGCACAAUGGGCGGAAGCCUGAUGCAGCGACGCCGCGUGAGGGAUGACGGCCUUCGGGUUGUAAACCUCUUUCAGUAGGGAAGAAGCGAAAGUGACGGUACCUGCAGAAGAAGCGCCGGCUAACUACGUGCCAGCAGCCGCGGUAAUACGUAGGGCGCAAGCGUUAUCCGGAAUUAUUGGGCGUAAAGAGCUCGUAGGCGGUUUGUCGCGUCUGCCGUGAAAGUCCGGGGCUCAACUCCGGAUCUGCGGUGGGUACGGGCAGACUAGAGUGAUGUAGGGGAGACUGGAAUUCCUGGUGUAGCGGUGAAAUGCGCAGAUAUCAGGAGGAACACCGAUGGCGAAGGCAGGUCUCUGGGCAUUAACUGAC
Molecule: ribosomal RNA, 542 nt
Filed under: Arthrobacter sp. SMCC B0622
Lineage: Bacteria; Bacillati; Actinomycetota; Actinomycetes; Micrococcales; Micrococcaceae
Description: bacterial SSU rRNA
Rfam family: Bacterial small subunit ribosomal RNA
Source: RNAcentral